Long non-coding RNA from Pseudophryne corroboree (corroboree frog), 1070 nucleotides. RefSeq lists it as uncharacterized. The transcript has 3 exons. The record is from RefSeq and is a predicted model, not a curated record. Lineage: Eukaryota; Metazoa; Chordata; Amphibia; Anura; Myobatrachidae.
CAUUCCAAGGACAACAAUUGAAUGUUGAUUUAUGGCUGAGAUCCAUCCCAUCUGCAACUAGUCUUGACAUCUGUAUAACCAAUUUUUUUUUUCAACGCGAAGCAUAGUGCCGAGAAGAGGUUGGAGCCCAGGAGUACAGGGGAGGUGUACCAUACCUACAUGAUGAUGUGGCUGCUACAUUCAUGAGAUGAUACUGUGGCAAGAGAGAACAUGAUAAAACUAGAGAUGAGCAUAUUCGGUCUUCAGGAAGCUGAGCCCACCUGUACUUCCGGGAUCCGAGUGAGUCCGAGCGGCGCCUUGAUCGGAUUUCAAAUUGAGGCAAAAUGUCAUCAUCCUGGUGUCAAAUUCUCACAGGUUUUGGAUUCUAUAUAAGUCCCUCCCUCUGUGAUUUGGAUGCCAUUUCAUACUGAUCCCAGUCCACAUCCCCUCCCUGUGUCCAGUGGCUGCUGCUGUGUCCAUCCACUCCCUGGUGUAAAUUUACUAAGCUGAGAGUUCUAUUUAAAAUAGAAUGUUGCCCAUAGCAACCAGUCAGAUUCUACAUCUCAUUUAUCUAGCACCUUCAAGAAUAUAAUACCUGGAAUCUGAUUGGUUGCUAUGGGCAACAUUGCAUCUUAAAUAGAACAUCUUAUAACAUCUCCCAUCUUAGUAGUAAAUUUACCCCCCCUAUGUCCUUCCGCUCAAGUUACUGUGCUGUGUCCAUACACUCAAGUAGCUUCUGUGUCCAUCCUGUCCAGUAGCUGCUGCUGUGCUGUGUCUAUCCAGUCCACUGGCUAUGCUGAGCUGACCUAUCUGUUCAGUCCACUCCCCACAGUGUUAAUAUUGGCUGAGCAGGAUUUACAGUACAGGCAGAUCGCAAAUAAUUUAUAGUGCAGGAAUUAUUACUAGUCUAAUUGGACUGUCAAACUGCGGUGCUUCACUGUGGCUCUGCAGGCUAUAUCCCACUGUGUUCACAUAAAUAUAAGCAGUGUGACUCACAGCAUCAGUCAUUAUUUGCAAAAAAAUAAAUAAAAAUGUUUUUAUUAUUUAUACAACCUGUGUGCGCUGUCCCCCAGUACAUUCACAUAAAUAAA